This 469-nucleotide ribosomal RNA is filed under the name uncultured bacterium. RNAcentral's name for it is "bacterial SSU rRNA". It matches the Rfam family "Bacterial small subunit ribosomal RNA", at positions 328 to 793 of the family's 1533-position model. The record is from RNAcentral.
GUACCAGACUCCUACGGGAGGCAGCAGUGAGGAAUAUUGGUCAAUGGGCGGGAGCCUGAACCAGCCAAGUCGCGUGAGGGAAGACGGCCCUACGGGUUGUAAACCUCUUUUGUCGGGGAGCAAAGCGAGUCACGUGUGGCUCAUUGAGAGUACCCGAAGAAAAAGCAUCGGCUAACUCCGUGCCAGCAGCCGCGGUAAUACGGAGGAUGCGAGCGUUAUCCGGAUUUAUUGGGUUUAAAGGGUGCGUAGGCGGAAUGCAAAGUCAGCGGUAAAAUCGCGGGGCUCAACCUCGCUCCGCCGUUGAAACUGGCGUUCUUGAGUGGGCGAGAAGUAUGCGGAAUGCGUGGUGUAGCGGUGAAAUGCAUAGAUAUCACGCAGAACUCCGAUUGCGAAGGCAGCAUACCGGCGCCCAACUGACGCUGAAGCACGAAAGCGUGGGUAUCGAACAGGAUUAGAUACCCGUGUAUUG